Long non-coding RNA from Gallus gallus (chicken), 1460 nucleotides. Lineage: Eukaryota; Metazoa; Chordata; Aves; Galliformes; Phasianidae. The record is from Ensembl.
UCUGAUCAUCAGUGCACAGAUUCUCAACAGUUAACAUCCCAAAGCCAUAUUGACCAUACUGACAAACUCAGAAGGAAAAGGCCAGGCAUUUUUCUGAGACCCCUGCAAUUAGCAAUGAAGAAGUGUGACAGUUCCACAGGACAGAUACAUUCUGAUUGGAGUUAGCUACAGCUUGCUUUCAAAAGAGCCUAGUGACAGUCGAAGAGAAGACGGGGUAAUUCAAGAUUUAUAUUUGUGAACGAAUUUUGCUCUGAGCAGCUUAGAUUUUGGCAUUACAUCAAAUGACUAGGCCAUUAAUCACAUUUUGAAUAGUUUUUGCUUUUACAUUUUCCUCUUCUGAUGAACAAGGGAAAAGACCCAAGAUGCUUUGUCAAUGACAAAGAUGCAAGUCCCACAUGUAGAUUACUUAGUGAAAGAAAUCCCACAGACAGACAGACUGACUAAUUUAUUUGUGUCCAGGGAAAUUCAGUCCUAAGAUCCCUGAGAAAACCUGUGGAAGGAAAGAUUAUGUUACACUCAAGCGUCCUCCAAGCUUUGAAAAAAUGGCCUGUUUUGGUGUUCAGUGUACGUGAGCAGCCAUGCUGACCCCGCUCAGAGGCAGCAAGACACCAGAACUCUGGUACAAAACUCACUGCGAUUAAGAGAAAGACUGUGACAUCUUGGAAAUGUUUGUGGAGGUGCCUGGGGCAGUUGGCUGCUUAACUGAGAUCUGCACAAGCUUCUGGAGCUGAUGCUCUGGGUGUGCUGAGCUGUUCUGUGGCGUUCCCAAGGGUGACAAACCACUAGCAGUGGGUGUGAAAAUGCAUUUGCAUGAAUGUGUUGACUGAAGUCUCCUUCUCUCCUUCUCAUCUGACUGUGAAGCCAGGCAAUGGCACUGCUCUCAUCAGAGAGGCCCUAGAGAGAGGAAGGUAUGUGAAAGCCAAAGCAAGAGUCAGCUAUUUGCUUAAACUUCUGAAUGUAGUCCUUAUGGUAAACUCGCCUGAAUGAAGAAACACAGCACCUUUGCACUGGAGAAUAAUCCAGCUCAGCUAAACCAGGAAAAAGCCACAGAGAGAAUGCUAUAAUUACGAGAGGCACUGUGCCCCUCACCAAAUCCAGUCGUAGCUGUGGCAUUAAGAAAGUUGUUUCCUCAGUAAACAGAUGGUGGAAACCCACCUCAUGUCUUCCCCUGCCGAAAUGUUGCACUCAGCUGCGAAUCUUCUUUUCCCAUGUACAGUUUGUUUUGCUCAGUUUUUUAUCUGUAUCAGUGGUUCAUUUGCAAUUUCUCUGAAGAGGACAUUACCAUACAUAUGCACACCAAGUGGAAAAAAAUAAAUGUUUUGCUUUCUGGAAACCCCAUGGCUAAGAACAGCCAAAAUGUCAGCUGCCAGUUCGUUUAGACAUGACAAGGCACAUGACUAGACAUGGUACACAGCUGAGACCAAUUCUACUUUCCCUUGUUAUUAUAUAAAUGUCUUCUG